AGAGUUUGAUCCUGGCUCAGGAUGAACGCUGGCGGUAUGCUUAACACAUGCAAGUCGAACGGAUGUUUUCGGACAUUAGUGGCGGACGGGUGAGUAACGCGUGAGAAUCUAGCUUCAGGUUGGGGACAACAGUUGGAAACGACUGCUAAUACCGAAUGUGCCGAAAGGUGAAAGAUUUAUUGCCUGAAGAAGAGCUCGCGUCUGAUUAGCUAGUUGGUGGGGUAAGAGCUUACCAAGGCGACGAUCGGUAGCUGGUCUGAGAGGACGAUCAGCCACACUGGGACUGAGACACGGCCCAGACUCCUACGGGAGGCAGCAGUGGGGAAUUUUCCGCAAUGGGCGAAAGCCUGACGGAGCAAUACCGCGUGAGGGAAGAAGGCUCUUGGGUUGUAAACCUCUUUUCUUGGGGAAGAAAAAAAUGACGGUACCCAAGGAAUCAGCAUCGGCUAACUCCGUGCCAGCAGCCGCGGUAAUACGGAGGAUGCAAGCGUUAUCCGGAAUGAUUGGGCGUAAAGCGUCCGCAGGUGGCAUUUCAAGUUUGCGGUUAAAGGUUCUGGCUCAACCAGA
This 567-nucleotide ribosomal RNA is filed under the name uncultured cyanobacterium. Its description in RNAcentral is "bacterial SSU rRNA". It matches the Rfam family "Bacterial small subunit ribosomal RNA", at positions 8 to 617 of the family's 1533-position model. The record is from RNAcentral. Lineage: Bacteria; Bacillati; Cyanobacteriota.